UACGUAGGGGGCAAGCGUUGUCUGGAUUUAUUGGGCGUAAAGAGCGUGUAGGCGGCCUGACAGGUCUGCUGUGAAAACUCGAGGCUCAACCUCGAGAUGUCGGCGGAAACCGUCUGGCUAGAGUCCGGAAGAGGAGAGUGGAAUUCCUGGUGUAGCGGUGAAAUGCGCAGAUAUCAGGAAGAACACCUAUGGCGAAGGCAGCUCUCUGGGACGGUACUGACGCUGAGACGCGAAAGCGUGGGGAGCGAACAGG
RNAcentral lists this ribosomal RNA (253 nucleotides) under uncultured bacterium. Its description in RNAcentral is "partial 16S ribosomal RNA". It matches the Rfam family "Bacterial small subunit ribosomal RNA", at positions 524 to 776 of the family's 1533-position model. The record is from RNAcentral.